GCCGCAUUCACACAGCAGCCUCAGCCCGGCCAGGCAGCGCGCGCGGCUCCUUGGGGGCACCCUCGCGGCGGGGGUGGGGGUUGCGGGGCGGGCCUGAAGGAGCGUCCCUCUCGGAGACACACUUUUCCCCUACUCGCCACGCGCUCUCAACUGGCCUGUGUGGCGCAAUCCUCCCCCCACCUCCCCGUCUUGGCCUUCGCAAGUGUGGGAGCGUCGCGGCACUGUCGAGUCCCUCCAGCACCCCAACUAGAAGACAAGUCCCCUGAGGGAAGAUCUGCAUUUUGUUUACUGGAUUGUCCUGCGAUCCUAGAAGAAUGUCUACCACAAUUGAAGUGAGGAUUUGAAACUCUGUGCUAUCCGGGGUCCCUUCCAGCUCUGAAGGUGUGAUUCUGUGACCCACAAGUCGAUCUCUCACUGAAAAAGCCAGCCCAACAUAAAAUCCAUUACAUCAAGGGCCUGCAAAGAGAAAGAGGUUCCUAAAAAUAUUUUUUUUUCUUUUUAGAUAAA
This is a long non-coding RNA of Galeopterus variegatus (Sunda flying lemur), 507 nucleotides long. RefSeq lists it as uncharacterized. NCBI's taxonomy places the organism in Eukaryota, Metazoa, Chordata, Mammalia, Dermoptera, Cynocephalidae. The record is from RefSeq and is a predicted model, not a curated record. The transcript has 3 exons.